CCCCUCCCCCAAACUUAUUACAGAACAUAAGUUCGAAAAUAAGUUUGGAGGGAUGAUGAUAUGUGUGUCACUACUCACAGAAACACAUGCUCCACGGUGGUGAUAUGAACAAGGCGCGAGUUCCCGCAUCUUCCAAGCUCAACACUGCACUAAAAACCCCAAACAAAACAACGAAACAAAAAGAAACAAAACGAAACUAAAAGAACGAAAAACAAAAAACAAAGAAAAAUAGUUGGGUUACCUCCCAACAAGUGCUUAAUUUAACGUCUAGAGCUCGACGAUACCUCAUGGUCUCAAUGAACAUCAAACGCAGAGGGCGUGACAGACUGCCUAACACGAACAGAGACAGAGGACUCAUGCGCAUCAGCUGCGUGAAAGACGACGCUUCCAUUGGGCACAUCUAUCAUAGC
This 410-nucleotide long non-coding RNA is filed under the name Salvia miltiorrhiza (redroot sage). Its description in RNAcentral is "long non-coding RNA (SMIL_LNC008516)". Lineage: Eukaryota; Viridiplantae; Streptophyta; Magnoliopsida; Lamiales; Lamiaceae. The record is from RNAcentral.